RNAcentral lists this long non-coding RNA (2376 nucleotides) under Homo sapiens (human). RNAcentral describes it as "HSALNT0142903". The record is from RNAcentral. Lineage: Eukaryota; Metazoa; Chordata; Mammalia; Primates; Hominidae.
CUUGAAUUCAUCUGGCACUGUUGACCAACACAGAGAGCCAAAACACACACGGAAUUCAAAAUCAGAAAUAAUCCCAAGUUUGAGUCAUCCAAUGUGCUUGUCUACAUUGAUUGCACUCACCAGAUAAAAGUCCAAUGCACUCUGUGGGGUGAAACAGCCUCUGUCUCAGGUUGGGAGUUGCUGCCAUGGAGACCACAAGAGUGGAGAUUUUCUGACACACAGAAAGGAAUGGAUUACAGCUCCUUCUUAUGUAAAUUUCCAUGGAGGGGAAAAAAGAUUAAAAGGAAAAUAAUUCUGCUUUAGUCGUUUUCCUUUAAGGUGAUAAGAUCCUUUGAUUCCAUCGUGGAGAAGAAGGCAACAGCUGUUUGUCACAAAUGUGGGAAGCUGCUUCUUGGGCAGGGUGGAUUUCCAUCUGCGUCUCCUUUUCGGUGUUGAAAGCUGAUGGGAAAUGUGCCAACGUCACAACAAGGUUUGAGGGAGGCACAUCUCAUGCUCGGACAUGAACACCCGAUCAUCAUGCUUAUGAACUACAAAAGGAUCUCCAGUAUGGGCUCACGGCAGUUGGCCCUUGAAUAACAUGAAUUUGAACUGCCUGAGUCUGCUAAUAUGUGGAUUAUCUUCUGCUUCUGCACCCUGAGACAGCAAGACCAACCCUUCCUCUUGCUUCUUUUCCUUAGCCUAUUCAACGUGAAGAUGACUAAGGCAUGAAAAAACCCUGAAAAACUGAGCGUUUGCUUCUCAGCGACUCAGCUUGAAAGAGGCUGUUUUAAACUGGAAGAGGUUGAGAGGCCUUCAGUUGGUGAGUUUAUUAUUUUCCCUUGCUCCUCUGUGAAAUGAAGCUCAUGAAGAAGCGUAGGUCAGGUACAGAAUAUAAAAGAAUGACCUUUUCUUUUUCCUGGACAAUUUAAGUGCACUGUCAUCUCACAACCUCAAACUCUUUAAUAUGGUAAUGAGAGGCAAAAGGCAUUUUAAUUUGGAGCUAUGUCGCAGUUUUCCAGCAUGUGAAGAAAGCAUCCUCAGUUGCCAAAAGGUCACGUGUGGGAUUAGUUGCUAGGCUGUGGGAUUAUUUUUCUAGGCUUGCUGGGGAAAAGGGCAAAAGAGAAGAAGCAAACUAGCAGAGUCAUGUGGCGUUUCUGUCCUGGGACUUACGCAAAUUAUGCAAUUGUCCUUUGCAUUCAAAUCUGUUCCUCUUCCACCUGAUAUUUUGCUGAGGGGACAAGUGAAAUUCCAAAGCUCAGUUUGCUGAAGUGUGCAAAAUGCUAAUCAGCUUCCACAGCCCACAAAGUGGCAGAGAGGGCGUGCCUCUCUGGAGAAGAGAGGAGAGACUGGACUAGGAGCUGGGAGGAGUCUGGCUGACUCAGCGGCCCCAGACAAACGCACUUCCAUCCUUUCCCAUUUCCGUUGUGAACUCUUCUCCGUGGGCAAGAAGAGGACUCAGAACAACUGCUAUCUUUUUACAAAGAAGGAUGAUGUGCAAGGGGGUCAUUUACAAGAGGAUCAAGGGUUUGGCUAUGUUGGGAGAUGCUGAUUUUGAUAAAUGUUUCCAUAUCUCUACAAAUGUGCCUUUCUGAGUCUCCAGUUAGACUUGAAAAAGACUUUGGAGAUUGUCCCCUGCACAGUGGCUCUGAGCCUGGACACCUAGGAGAUGCUCAGUAAAUAUCUGUUAAAUAAAUGAAGGAAUGGAUAUAGUCCAAACUACUUGGUCAUGCAUCCAGUUUGUGGCAGAUUUGGGUCUCUAAGGCCCAGUACACUAAUCACUCAGCUGGGAGUUUUUAUUCUGUUCCAUCUUGCUGCUAGGACAACUGUAGCCACCCAGAAGGAUGUCUCAACGCUCUGGAAAGUUCUCUGGCUGAAUGUUGCUAUGAUACAAUCUUUUAACAAGCUGAUUGCUCAGUAGCAAGAGCAAGUGCUAUUUAUGUUGGGUAAAUAAGAAGAAAUGCUGCCCUACUGAUAUUUGUUAAGUGCCCCUUUAAUAUUUGUGAGGAGGCGAUCUUGACAAAAUUUUGAGAGUGUAUACACUGGCAAAUUUUACCUUUUAUGGACUGUAAUAUCCUAUUGCUACUUGAUUUAAAAAUCUUUCCCUCUCUUCACAUAUAUCCAUAUGAAAAAAAACAGCAGAGAGAGAUAUAUGUAUAUUAUAUGGGAGAUAUCUAUCUAUCAUCUAUCUAUCUCCCACUUAUGACCUGAAAGCCCCGUCUUUGAGAUGUUCUGCCUUUCCAGCCUAAAUCAAUGUAUACCUUACAUGUAUUGAUUUAUGUCUUUGCCUGUAACUUCUGUUUUCCUAAAAUGUAUAAAACUAAACUGUAAUUCAGUCACCUUGGGUACACUUUCUCAAGCUUUCUUGAGACUGUUUCCCAGGCCAUGGUCAGAAUAAAC